This 965-nucleotide ribosomal RNA is filed under the name uncultured bacterium. RNAcentral's name for it is "bacterial SSU rRNA". It matches the Rfam family "Bacterial small subunit ribosomal RNA", at positions 8 to 990 of the family's 1533-position model. The record is from RNAcentral.
AGAGUUUGAUCAUGGCUCAGGGUUAACGCUGGCGGCGUGCCUAACACAUGCAAGUCGAACGGUUCUAAGCGCGAGCUUAGGAUAGUGGCGAACGGGUGAGUAAAAGGUAGGAAUCUACCCCUUGGACGGAGAUAGCUACUGGAAACGGUAGGUAAACUUCGAUAAGCCCGAGAGGGGAAAGUGGUGAGACAGCCGAGGGAUGAGCCUACUCUCCAUCAGGUAGUUGGUGAGAUAAAAGCUUACCAAGCCGAUGACGGGUAACCGGUGUGAGAGCAUGAACGGUCACAAGGGCACCGAGAGACGGGCCCUACUCCUACGGGAGGCAGCAGUGGGGAAUCUUGGACAAUGGGCGAAAGCCUGAUCCAGCGACGCCGCGUGGAGGAAGAAGUCCUUCGGGAUGUAAACUUCUGAACUAGCCGAAUAAAAGGCCUGUGGAUACACAGGAGAAGAAAGUAGGCUAGGAAAAGUCCCGGCUAACUACGUGCCAGCAGCCGCGGUAAGACGUAGGGGGCAAGCGUUACCCGGAAUUACUGGGCGUAAAGGGGGCGUAGGCGGUAAAAGAAGUCAUCUGUGAAAACCUAUUGCUCAACGAUAGGCUAGCGGAUGAAACUGAAUUACUUGAGGGCACCAGAGGUAGACGGAAUUACCCGAGUAGGGGUGAAAUCCGCAGAUACGGGUAGGAACGCCGGUGGAGAAGUCGGUCUACUGGGGGUGCACCAGACGCUGAGGCCCGAAAGCUAGGGGAGCAAACCGGAUUAGAUACCCGGGUAGUCCUAGCCGUAAACGAUGCUCACUAGGUGUAGGGAGUGAUAAACUCUCUGUGCUGAAGCGAACGCGCUAAGUGAGCCGCCUGGGGAGUACGUCCGCAAGGAUGAAACUCAAGGAAUUGACGGGGGUCCGCACAAGCGGUGGAGCAUGUGUUUAAUUCGAUGGUAACCGAAGAACCUUACCAGGAUUGACAUGUA